RNAcentral lists this transfer RNA (73 nucleotides) under Mustela putorius furo (domestic ferret). It matches the Rfam family "tRNA". Rfam says of the family: Transfer RNA (tRNA) molecules are approximately 80 nucleotides in length. Their secondary structure includes four short double-helical elements and three loops (D, anti-codon, and T loops). Further hydrogen bonds mediate the characteristic L-shaped molecular structure. tRNAs have two regions of fundamental functional importance: the anti-codon, which is responsible for specific mRNA codon recognition, and the 3' end, to which the tRNAs corresponding amino acid is attached (by aminoacyl-tRNA synthetases). tRNAs cope with the degeneracy of the genetic code in two manners: having more than one tRNA (with a specific anti-codon) for a particular amino acid; and 'wobble' base-pairing, i.e. permitting non-standard base-pairing at the 3rd anti-codon position. The record is from Rfam by way of RNAcentral. Lineage: Eukaryota; Metazoa; Chordata; Mammalia; Carnivora; Mustelidae.
GCCUGGCAGGCUCAGUCAGAAAAGCAUGAGACUCUUGAUCUCAGGGUUGUGAGUUCAAGCCCCAUGUGGGGUG